GUCUAUCACCAUGCCACCUUGAACAUGUCUAUUCUUGUCUGGUCUCCCAAGCUAAGCAGGUUCGGGCCUGGUUAAUACUUGGAUGGGAGACCACCUAGGAAUACCAGGUGCUGUAGGUG
This 119-nucleotide ribosomal RNA is filed under the name Pteropus alecto (black flying fox). The record is from RNAcentral. Lineage: Eukaryota; Metazoa; Chordata; Mammalia; Chiroptera; Pteropodidae.